Orcinus orca (killer whale) is the source of this 1692-nucleotide long non-coding RNA. RefSeq lists it as uncharacterized. The transcript is spliced from 2 exons. The record is from RefSeq and is a predicted model, not a curated record. NCBI's taxonomy places the organism in Eukaryota, Metazoa, Chordata, Mammalia, Artiodactyla, Delphinidae.
UCUUCAAUAAAUGUUUAUAGAGUAAAUGAAUAAACUCGAAUCCUUGAGUUUGGUGUCUCCUGGAUUAACCUGGCUUGUUUUCUUGUCCACUUAAUCCUGAUCUUUGUUUUCAGAGUCAAGGCUCCUUGUUUGACACAGCCAUCUAUUUCUUUUUCUUUCUUUCUUUCUUUUUUUUUUUUUUUUUGGUCUUUGUUGUGUAAAAUCCAUCAUUGGCUUUCAGUCCCAUUGGCAGUUAUCUGUUUUGAUUUUGCUUCUCCUUCUUUAAUACUUAGUAUAACCUUGACCUGAAGAUCUUGUUUUCCAGAUCUUAGUCCACAGCCUCAGUUUUUCUUGUUUCUGGCUGAAUGCCUCAAGAUAGGUGGGCUGAAAUAUACCGCUAGAAUCAUUCACUCUAGCGUUUCUCUGCCAGCUCUGCUAGUUACUAGCUUAUGAUUGUCAAACCACAGUUCCAGAUCUGACCCUUAAGCUGUGGAUUUAAUGCUGCCAUACAGUGUGUAAUGAAAUAGCAUGACCCAGUAAACAAUGGGACCAAACUAGCUGUUAUUUAAGACAAGCUGUCACCCAUCUAACGAUAACAGUGUAUCUGUAGCAUCUGUCAGACCAGUUCUUUGUUCAUUGGAUAAGUUUUUUCCUGAAUUGCUGUAAUAGUCAAUUUUAGAAAUGCAUUUUUUUAAAACCAACUACACACCCCUCCCCAAUAAAUUGAUAGAUGUGCCUGGUUUUUUCUUUGCCACCUUGUCUUUUAAAAAUAUCUUUUUUUUAAGACCUUAUUCUUAGCAUCUCUUAAAUCAAAGACUGUACCUUGGAUCAGAAGACUGUGUGAGCCGUUGUUCCUCUGUCAGUUUGUAAGGAGCACUGACCUUUGACAGAGCCUCUCCACAGUCCCCACUCCUCUGAUGGAUAAGACUCUACAACAAUACAGUAGAAGUUUUUCUGAAAAUUUCCAGUGUUUUAUGUGUUAAGUUAUUACGCAUACUGAUAAGCAUCAUUUUAUUAUUUAAAAAAAUAUAUUUGUCAUUUACUAGACCUUGAUCUCAGGUUUUCAUAAGCUGGUAUAUAAAUUUUCUUCACUUCAUUAAUUUGCAUCUACAUUGGCAGAGAACAUUAAUUGGUUUCUUGCUAUUCAAUACAUUCUUUGGCUAUUAAAAUAAUUUAUAGCCUAAUUUGGAACCACUGGAUGGAGGUAGUAUUUUUCCUUAUAUUUCUCCUAUGUGUUAGUUAAAACUUUAAUAAGCACUUUUUUGGUGAUUUUAUUUUCUCCAUGUAUAUCUUCUGAGUUUUGCUUCUCUUUAAGCUGUAAAAGGCAAAAUGGAAUCAUCAUGUUCUUUAAAAUGCCACCUGAAAUUGUUUAUCAUCUAAAUUCACCGUAAACUAAGAAAAUUUGUUUGACACAUCAAAUAAAAGUCUAAGAAAAAUUGUCUAAUAGUGGACAAGCAGGAAAGGAAGUUGGGGUAGGUGGUAAUGGUACCAGAAAUGUGAAUUUUUAGUUAUCUACCUGGUGAUGCUAAACUGUUUAAGACCUGUGGCCAACUUUGAAUCUUUGAUAAUAAAAAUGUAUUUUAAAUUGAUCCAGAAAAGUCCAUAGAUAUGAAUUUUCUUUGUGUUAGUACAUUACUGGCAGGAAAGGCUAAAAAUAUAAGUUUCACUGUGAGAGUAAAGAUUGAUUAAAGUUUCAUUUUUUUAAAGUCUUCA